GACGAACGCUGGCGGCGUGCCUAACACAUGCAAGUCGAACGCUUCUUUCCUCCCGUGUUCUUGCACUCGAUUGGCAAGCGGAUUGGCGGACGGUUGAGUACCUCCUCUGUAACCUACCCUUCAGUCGGGGAUCACACUUGGAAACAGGUUCUAAUACCGCAUAACAUUUUAUGCCUCAUGGCAUUACAGUGAAAGGCGCUUUCCGCUGUCGUUGAUGGCUUGACCCGCGGUGCAUUAGCUAGUUGGUGAGGUAAGGGCUCCCUGAGGCGGCGAUGGAUAGACGAACGGAGAGGGUGAUCGGCGACACGAGGACUGGGACACGGACAAGACUACUGAGAGAGGCAGCAGAAGGGAAUCGUAGGCAGUGGACGAAAGUCUGACAGAGCGACGCCGAGUGAGUGAAGAAGGUGUUCGGAGCGUAAAAAUGUGUUGUUGGAGAAGAACAAGGACGGUAGGAACUGAACGGCGAGUGACGGUAUCGAAUCAGAAAGCAACGGCUAACUACGUG
Molecule: ribosomal RNA, 508 nt
Filed under: uncultured bacterium
Lineage: Bacteria
Description: partial 16S ribosomal RNA
Rfam family: Bacterial small subunit ribosomal RNA
Source: RNAcentral